CAGCCGCCACGGUAAUACGGAGGGUGCAAGCGUUAAUCGGAAUUACUGGACGUAAAGCGCACGCAGGCGGUCUGACAAGUCAGAUGUGAAAUCCCCGGGCUUAACCUGGGAACUGCAUUUGAAACUGUCAGGCUGGAGUCUUGUAGAGGGGGGUGGAAUUCCAGGUGUAGCGGUGAAAUGCGUAGAGAUCUGGAGGAAUACCGGUGGCGAAGGCGGCCCCCUGGACAAAGACUGACGCUCAGGUGCGAAAGCGUGGGGAGCAAACAGGAUUAGAUACCCGCGUAGUCCCUGUCUCUUAUAC
This 301-nucleotide ribosomal RNA is filed under the name uncultured bacterium. RNAcentral's name for it is "partial 16S ribosomal RNA". It matches the Rfam family "Bacterial small subunit ribosomal RNA", at positions 509 to 807 of the family's 1533-position model. The record is from RNAcentral.